RNAcentral lists this ribosomal RNA (267 nucleotides) under uncultured bacterium. RNAcentral's name for it is "partial 16S ribosomal RNA". The record is from RNAcentral.
CUGCUGCCUUCCGUAGGAGUUUGGGCCGUGUCUCAGUCCCAAUGUGGCCGUCCGCCCUCUCAGGCCGGCUACUGAUCGUCGCUUUGGUAGGCCGUUACCCUGCCAACUGGCUAAUCAGACGCGGGUCCAUCGUAUACCACCUCGGUUUUUCACACUGUCCCAUGCGGAACCGUGCGCUUAUGCGGUAUUAGCACCUAUUUCUAAGUGUUAUCCCCCUGUAUACGGCAGGUUACCCACGCGUUACUCACCCGUCCGCCACUAAGUUAU